RNAcentral lists this unclassified non-coding RNA (2260 nucleotides) under Drosophila virilis. RNAcentral's name for it is "GJ22968". The record is from RNAcentral. Lineage: Eukaryota; Metazoa; Arthropoda; Insecta; Diptera; Drosophilidae.
UGGAAAAAUCGUAAAUAACAUUGCAACUGCAGCAGCAACAGCAGCGAAAACUAUGUGAAAAACAGUUGUAAUUGUUAAUAAUUGUAAAAGUGCAAUGCAUUUCGUGACGUCGCAUGGAAAAUUAAAAGCGUGCUCGUGUUAUUUCUAAACAUACAUAGUGCAUAUGUAUAUAUAGAUGUAGGCAUGGUUGAGGCGACAAAAUUUGGCAAUCUGGAGGCCUACACAUAUCUGCUUGUGACGCUAAAUUUAACGCUUGCGUUAAUUGUAAUGUUUUUCAAUUGUCUGUGCUGCAAGAAAAGAAUACCAAAAAAUGAUUUGCUCGGCCUGGAGGGCAUGGUGAAGCUAAAGAACCCCGACGAGGUUAUUGUGGUCAGCAGCAACAAUUCGAAUGCGAAUACGAAUGCGGCAACAAAUAGCAACAGCCUGGUGCACAACAGUGAGUCACAAGCAGAGCUGAAUGCGUCUACGGUCUCAAAUGCUGACUCAGAAAAGAGAUCUAGCACAGCGGCGCAUCGCAGCUUGCCGGACAUACCCGUUGCGGAGAACAACGACAAUGGCUCCGAAUUGUAUGAGACUGUUGCCGACAAGCAGCUGGCCAAUGCGCAUAAUCAAAGUCCAGCUCAGCCCAGUUUGAAAAAGCAAACCAGCGUAUCGCAACAUAGCUCCAUCAGCCAGGCGGAUGAUGUUAGCUCGCCGUAUUCGCGUGUUAAGGGCUUGCCGCAUGAUUAUGCCAAGGUGCGUGGCACCGAGCAUCCGUAUGCGCAACUUAAUGCACCGUCCACCUCCACCUCUGCUGUAGCAGCAACAAAUGCAAGCAAUUCCAGCAGCAAAGCUGCAUGUUCACAACAUGGCACCGACUCACUGCAGCGUGGCUCACAGCUCAGUGGCGAGUCGGCACAGCACCUGAACGAUGAAUCGACUUCGCAGGUAGAAAUACCGGCUGCAUCGGCUAUUGCGGGCAUGAUAUCGGCCAGUCAGGAUCUGCCCUAUAUGACGCCGCCCAUUGCAAAUCAACAUUUUAGUGGCGACUCACAAGACUCUUCUAAGGGAUAUACGAGCAUUAGCGUGCGUGAGCCGCUGGCUAAUAUUCUGGCACAGCAACCGCCGAGCAAACAGACGGCCAGAAAAACUACGCUGACGCGUGAUGUCAAUGACUCGCACUAUGCAACCGUCUCAGACGAUUCGGAUGAAACAUAUGCGGCUAUUGAGGAUCCCAACAAUCGUCACAUACCAAAUGCCACCGAUAUUUAUACAAGCGGUUCAGAGACCUAUGCACAAAUCCAGCCAAUGCAGGCUAAUCCCAUUGUAGUGGCAGUUGAGAUUAACAACAGCAGCAGCUUGUCGGCAGCGAGUGCAGCGACAGGCAGUAGCGGGCAGCUGCCGCCGCUUAAUCACACUACGGGCAGCGGAUCGACGCACCGAGUGAGCAGCAGCAGCAUGGAGUAUGCUGGGCCCGUGCCGCAUCAUGUGGAUAAUUUGCGCGCACAAAUGCACUCGCGGCAAGCAUCUUCUUCGUCGUCUGUGUGCAAUUUAGGUUCGCCCAAACCGGAGAAGAGGCAGGCAAAUUCUCCGUUGCCUCCUACGCCCAAAGCGAGUCUCAGUCAGUCGCAAGGGCAACAUCACCUUCAUUCAGCAGCAAGCAGCAGCAAUCUUACAUCUGGGCGCAGCUCUGUUAUCUCUGUAAUUGAAGCCGGCGGUGAGGGCAACAACGAUGCCAAUGAUGCUAGCAAUGCAUCCCCACAGCGCAAGCACAGCAAGAGUCUAAGCCCAUCCAAAGAUGUUGAGGGCAGCAGAAACAUCGAGGGAAUGUACGCCAAGGUGAUGAAGAAGCACAAGUUCUCCUCACACCAGCCGGAGGUACUUGGUGUCAGUCCCUUGGAUAGUGCAGCAGCGGCGCUUCUAAUGGAUCCACUGAAGCUGACGACAUCUGGGUCUGACAAGAGUCGUGUGCGCAGCAACAGUUACACUGCCAAAGAUCAUGGAUACGAGACGAUACCGGCGGAUGGGCAGAAACUGACGCAAAAUCAGCUGCCGCACGAGAAUCGCAAGUCGGAUUGUUAUGCCAACAUUCUGCAAAAGGAGCGGCAGCUGGAAGCAGUUGUUUUGCCAAAAUGAGAAAUUUGCGCGUUUCGACAGUUUCGUCAGUUUUUGUUGGAAACUGACAGUGCUGUCAGUCAAACGCAUCACAACAAUAUCAGCAGCAGCAGCGUUCAGGUCAAACCUGUUGCGCCCAGCACCAGCACAAAGCACUACGAGACUA